RNAcentral lists this ribosomal RNA (253 nucleotides) under uncultured bacterium. Its description in RNAcentral is "partial 16S ribosomal RNA". It matches the Rfam family "Bacterial small subunit ribosomal RNA", at positions 524 to 776 of the family's 1533-position model. The record is from RNAcentral.
UACGAGGGGUGCAAGCGUUGCUCGGAAUUAUUGGGCGUAAAGGGUAGGUAGGUGGUCUCAUUUGUCUGGGGUGAAAGCCUUGAGCUUAACUCAAGAAGUGCCCCAGAAACGGUGAGACUGGAGUCCUGGAGAGGGUCGUGGAAUUCCCAGUGUAGCGGUGAAAUGCGUAGAUAUUGGGAGGAACACCGGUGGCGAAGGCGGCCCCCUGGACCGGUACUGACGCUGAGGCGCGAAAGCGUGGGUAGCAAACGGG